AUUCCAGCUCCAAUAGCGUAUAUUAAAGUUGUUGCAGUUAAAAAGCUCGUAGUUGGAUUUCUGGCUGGAGCGAUCGGUCCGCCCCGCAAGGGGUGUGUACUAGCGUCGUCUCCGACCAUCCUUGUGGGAACUGUGCGGCCGUUAACUCGGUUGUAUAUGGGAACACAUCGUUUACUGUGAAAAAAUUAGAGUGUUUAAAGCAGGCUUAAGCCGUUGAAUACAUUAGCAUGGAAUAAUAAGAUAAGACUUGGGUCAUUAUUUUGUUGGUUUGCGGAUCGAGGUAAUGAUUAAUAGGGAUAGUUGGGGGUAUUCAUAUUUAAUUGUCAGAGGUGAAAUUCUUGGAUUUAUGAAAGAUGAACUUAGGCGAAAGCAUUUACCAAGGAUGUUUUCAUCA
This 394-nucleotide ribosomal RNA is filed under the name Stramenopiles sp. MAST-1A. RNAcentral's name for it is "partial small subunit ribosomal RNA". It matches the Rfam family "Eukaryotic small subunit ribosomal RNA", at positions 582 to 975 of the family's 1831-position model. The record is from RNAcentral.